GCUUUACUAUAGCCUGGAAUUGGGUUCGGCUUCCCUUGCGCAGAAUAGGUGGGAGACGAUGAAGAUCGCCUUGUGGGGUGAUCCGAGUCAUCGGUGAGAUACCACUCUAGGGAGCUAGAAUUCUAACUUGCUCCGUAAUCCGGAGAAGAACAGUUUCAGGUGGGUAGUUUGACUGGGCGGUCGCCUCCAAAAAAGUAACGGAGCGCACAAAGGUUCCCUCAGGCUGGAUGGAAAUCAGCCAGAGAGUGUAAAGGCACAAGGGAGCUUGACUGCGAGAGAAGA
This 282-nucleotide ribosomal RNA is filed under the name uncultured alga. Its description in RNAcentral is "partial 23S ribosomal RNA". It matches the Rfam family "Bacterial large subunit ribosomal RNA", at positions 2098 to 2385 of the family's 2925-position model. The record is from RNAcentral.